This 253-nucleotide ribosomal RNA is filed under the name uncultured bacterium. RNAcentral describes it as "partial 16S ribosomal RNA". It matches the Rfam family "Bacterial small subunit ribosomal RNA", at positions 524 to 776 of the family's 1533-position model. The record is from RNAcentral.
UACAGAGGGUGCAAGCGUUGUUCGGAAUUAUUGGGCGUAAAGGGCGCGUAGGCGGCGCGACAAGUCACCUGUGAAAUCUCCGGGCUUAACUCGGAAAGGUCAACUGAUACUGUGCGACUAGAGUGCGGAAGGGGCAACUGGAAUUCUCGGUGUAGCGGUGAAAUGCGUAGAUAUCGAGAGGAACACCUGCGGCGAAGGCGGGUUGCUGGGCCGACACUGACGCUGAUGCGCGAAAGCCAGGGGAGCGAACGGG